GAAACAUCUUAGUACCCGGAGGAAGAGAAAGAAAAUUCGAUUCCCUUAGUAGCGGCGAGCGAAACGGGAAGAGCCCAAACCAACAAGCUUGCUUGUUGGGGUUGUAGGACACUCUAUACGGAGUUACAAAGGACGACAUUAGACGAAUCAUCUGGAAAGAUGAAUCAAAGAAGGUAAUAAUCCUGUAGUCGAAAAUGUUGUCUCUCUUGAGUGGAUCCUGAGUACGACGGAGCACGUGAAAUUCCGUCGGAAUCUGGGAGGACCAUCUCCUAAGGCUAAAUACUCUCUAGUGACCGAUAGUGAACCAGUACCGUGAGGGAAAGGUGAAAAGCACCCCGGAAGGGGAGUGAAAUAGAACCUGAAACCGUGUGCUUACAAGUAGUCAGAGCCCGUUAAUGGGUGAUGGCGUGCCUUUUGUAGAAUGAACCGGCGAGUUACGAUUUGAUGCAAGGUUAAGCAGUAAAUGUGGAGCCGUAGCGAAAGCGAGUCUGAAUAGGGCGUUUAGUAUUUGGUCGUA
This 517-nucleotide ribosomal RNA is filed under the name Staphylococcus aureus. RNAcentral describes it as "partial 23S ribosomal RNA". It matches the Rfam family "Bacterial large subunit ribosomal RNA", at positions 195 to 711 of the family's 2925-position model. Lineage: Bacteria; Bacillati; Bacillota; Bacilli; Caryophanales; Staphylococcaceae. The record is from RNAcentral.